CUCUGAGUGCCGUGACCAUAUUUUUCUGAGCUGAGAAAUGAGGACACAGGAUGUAGUGGAGGGUUUUCUCAGAUUUGUCUCAUCAGAGGUAUGAAAGUUAAAGCUUAUUUAGCUAUGUAGAUAAGGGAGUGUCUUUGCUGAAAAGAACCCGGGUUUCCCAAAUCAGGGAGAUUCGGGAAAUUCAUAAGUCAAUUUGACUAAUCUUUUGGGGGCACCUGGGUCAAGCCUGUCCUUGGUGUUUGCACUACAGCAAGGAGCAAAAACAGGCACGAUCCUGGCCUCGUGGAACUCGUGUGGGGUGGCUGAGAGUCUGCAAAUGCUCGCACGGUUCAGUACCGCGAGCAUAUGUGAGAAUCGCUAUGGGGGGGGGGUGGGCGGCAAGGGUUCCCGAGUGGAGGAGCUUGGGGUGUCCUGGAAGGCUUCUCUGAAGAAUUAAUGUUUGAGGGGAAACAGAGCCUCUUAAGGUGAACUGUUGAAGGGAUGGGAGUGGGGUGGGGUGGGGAAAGCACAUUUCAGGCAGGAAGGAGGGCAUGUGCAAAGGGCCUGUGGCAGAAAGGAGUGCUGGGAGUCUGAGGGACAGGAGGGCAGCCCAGUGACCGGGAUGUGAUGAGCGAUGGGAAGAGGAAGUUGGAGGUGUCGGCAGGGGCCAGGCCGGGCCGCGCCCACCAGUCCACGAGCAUGGGGUACGUUCUCCUGCUGGUCGCGGGCAGCCAUGGACGGUUUGACACAGGUGUGACCUCACCAUUCCGUGUGGAAUGUUGUGAUACUGAGGAUGAUGACGAUGCUGGUAAUUCUCGGAAGUCUUUAGUGAGUGCUUACUAUGUGCCAAGCACCGGUCCAGCCAUUUUACAGAUGAGAAAGUGAGGGCUUGAGGGGGCGGGGGAAUGGUUUAUCCAAGAUCACGCGGCUGGUGAAUGGCCAAGCCGGAAAUCAGACUGCCUCCGUCUGGCUCUGAAGGCCCUUGCUCUUGUCCCACACCCAGAGCUGCCCCCCGUCUGGAUGCAGAAGGCCAAGGGACAUGCAGAUGACACCCGCCCCCUCCUUGCCUCAUGCCUUGCUGUGGUGUUGCCUCCACUCUGCUCUGUGUCCCAGGCCUGGGGACUCUGGGUCACGGAGUCAGGCGGGGCUGGAAAGGCCCAGCUCAGCUCAGUUCCCAUUGGGCCUGGCGGCGGGGGCGGGGGUGGGGGUGGGGGAAGCGGGCGUAAGUAGAGGUUGCGACAUCAGAGACUGAGGGUUCUGGAGAAGUUGGGACCCCGGGGGGGGGGGGGUAAGGGCCUCCGCCCUAGCCCGUUCCCUGGGGUGCAGGUCACACUACCAUCCCGGGAGCAGAGCCUCACUCACCUGUUUGAGGGCUAAGGACUUUGAGACGUGGCGUCACUAUCCCUGGGGAGUAGGGCAUCACCCCAGGCGCCCGCUUUCUCCCGUGGAAGCAGGUCUGGAUAAUUGCACACUACAGACUUACCAGUGGCAUUUUAAACAUUCUUCUUCCUCUUUCUUUUUUUUUUUUUUUUUUUUUUGCAUGUAAAAAAUUCUUACUCCCCCAGCGAUCAUCGGAGACAGGAAAAUCGAAAGCGCGUGAGAUACCGCUCCACAGAAAGUAACAAGUGCUGGUGAGGAUGUGGAGAAAUUGGAACCUUGGGCACCGUUUGUGGGGACGUAAAAUGGUGCAGCCCCUGUGGAAGAACAGGAUGGCGUUUCUUCAAAAAAUUAAAAAUAGAAUUACCAUAUGAUCCAGCAUUUCCACGUCUGGGCAUAUACCCAAAAGAAUCGCAAGCAGGGUCUCAAACAGAUACAUGUGCACCCAUGUUCCCUGCGGUGUUAUUCACGAUAGCCCAAAGGCAGAAACGACACAAGUGUAUCCAUCGACGCAGCACGUGGUCUAUGCGUACAAUGGAAUAUCAUUCAGCCUUAAAAAGGAAGGCAGUUUGGACACAGGCUUCGCCGUGGAUGAGCCUGGAGGACGUGGUGCGAAGGGAAAUAAACCAGGCACCAAAGGACGAAUACUGUAUGAUUCCACUCACGCCGGGGACUUGGGAGGGGCA
RNAcentral lists this long non-coding RNA (2042 nucleotides) under Lynx pardinus (Iberian lynx). The record is from RNAcentral. Lineage: Eukaryota; Metazoa; Chordata; Mammalia; Carnivora; Felidae.